Molecule: long non-coding RNA, 1377 nt
Filed under: Macaca fascicularis (crab-eating macaque)
Lineage: Eukaryota; Metazoa; Chordata; Mammalia; Primates; Cercopithecidae
Description: lncRNA (ENSMFAG00000047577.1)
Source: RNAcentral
UUUUUUUUUUUUUUUUUGAGACAGAGUCUCCCUUUGUCGCCUAGGCUGGAGUGCAGUGGCGCAAUCUUGGCUCACUGCAACUUCCACCUCCUGGGUUCAAAUGAUUCUCCUGCCUCAGCCUCUCAGAGUAGCUAGGACUACAGGGGCACGCCACCACGCCCAGCUAAUUGUUUUUGUAUUUUUUAGUAGAGAUGAGGUUUCAUCAUGUUGGCCAGGCUGGUCUCAAACUCUUGACCUCAGGUGAUCCUCCUGCCUUGGUCUCCCAAAGUGCUGGGAUUACAGGCGUGAGCCAUGUGAAAUGUUUAAAUAAAACACCCAUGGAGUGUUCCUUAGAAGCUGACCAGGAGGAUUCUGGUUGUGUUGGGCCACUAGUGUUGGUUUCCCAGAGGUGGCAAGUCUCUGUCACUUUCUUUCUCCAUCUCUCCUGUUUACUCUGCCCUCCUCUUUCUCACUCCAUGUUCUCCACCUUUCUUUGCUUAGUGAAAAAGAAUUAGUUCGCUUCAUUCAUUCAGCCACUCACCUAUUGGCUCAUUUAUUCACUCCUUCAUUCUGAGUGCUGCAUUUAAGUGCCAUGGACACUGCAGUGAACAAGACAAGGUGUUGCCCUCACAAAGGGUGUGGUCUGAGGGGUGAGACAAUGGUUAAAUGGGCAUUUACAAUGCAGCGUGGUGAGGUGGUGGGCGCUACCCUGGGGAGGAGCACAGAGGGGCCCUGUCUAGCCUUGGCCAGGUCAGGCAGGGCUUCCAGAAAGCCUGCACUAAACCGAAGUCUGAGUCCUCAGCACUGGGGAGGGAGCCAGGCAGCUAGGCAAAUGCUCUCUGGAAUCUUUGCUUAUGGGCUGUACGUUUUCUAUUUGGUGACUUUAAACUGGUUAUCUGACCAUGGUAGGAAACUUGGUGGCAGAUAUGACAGGUAGAGGAAAUAAUGGCAUGCAGAAGCCGAGAGCUCAUCCCUUAAAGCAGCAGAGGUGCCUGAUUUUGAUGCAGUUAAAUAAGCAAAAGUACAAAUGGCAAUUUGAGUGUGUAUGUGUGUUUCGUGUUGUGUGCUCUUGUGUGUGUGUGUACUAUUCAUUUCUUGUUUCUCGUAGUUAGUCCAGUUUUCAUGUUCUUGUGAAUUAAAAGCAUCACUGAACUGAGACUAAAUUUUCCUGAAAACCAAAAUAAGGAGCUGAAUUAAGAGUUUAAGAAUUUAGGAAUCUUUGGUUUCAAAAUCAAGAUGAACACUAUCUCUUGCCCUUUGAUGUUUCUUUUUCUCUUGAGAGGAGCAUUAUUUUGAUAUAUUUUUGCCAUUCAAGUACUCAUAAAAGAUUUCUGGAAGUCACUUUUUACCUUAAUGAGUUGAAGCAUCAUUUCUGAUCAAACUUGCUUUGCUUUGUAG